This is a long non-coding RNA of Gadus chalcogrammus (walleye pollock), 573 nucleotides long. RefSeq lists it as uncharacterized. The transcript has 3 exons. NCBI's taxonomy places the organism in Eukaryota, Metazoa, Chordata, Actinopteri, Gadiformes, Gadidae. The record is from RefSeq and is a predicted model, not a curated record.
AUUCUUCUUCUAGGCCCUUGUUUCCAUCCUCCAGAGUGGGCAGGAUGUCCUCAGAAGGUGUCCGAAAAUAGUGCAUGGUCGUCGGACUGACCGUCGGGGAUCGGGAGGCCGUAAUUCUUCCAGAGAUUCAUCUUCACUCACUGUCUCAUCUUAAGAAAUGGCUGGGGAAAAGAAAUCUGCAGCUGCACAUAGACACUAUCUACUCUGUCCAGUUUGUUUGAGGACCCAAGAGUCUCUAUCCUGUCACCUGCGCAGAGUCUGCAUGAAGGAUAAGACACCACCACAGAUCCUAGAGGUGGUUGAAAAGGCCAAGAAAGAUGUGUGUGACCUCCUGAAGAAUGGACGGGCUUUUAGUUAUGCAGUCCUGAAGCAAAUCGUCUCAUCACCAAAUCCAAUCGAAGGAUUGAUUGAGGAGCUGAAAUACCAUCACUUGUUUGUGACAGGAGUCCCUCCUCCUCUGCCCAUUGGUAAUCCAAGGUUGGUCACCGAAACCCUUUCUGAAUGCCCUGGGGAGGCACCCGGAGAGACAGAGCCAUCUGAUGUGGAAUCUUGCGGCAGCAAUGAGCUUUUUCA